UUAACGGAAGUUUUCGGAUGGAAGUUGAAUUGACUGACUGGCGGACGGGUGAGUAACGCGUGGGUAACCUGCCUUGUACUGGGGGACAACAGUUAGAAAUGACUGCUAAUACCGCAUAAGCGCACAGUAUCGCAUGAUACAGUGUGAAAAACUCCGGUGGUACAAGAUGGACCCGCGUCUGAUUAGCUAGUUGGUAAGGUAACGGCUUACCAAGGCGACGAUCAGUAGCCGACCUGAGAGGGUGACCGGCCACAUUGGGACUGAGACACGGCCCAAACUCCUACGGGAGGCAGCAGUGGGGAAUAUUGCACAAUGGGCGAAAGCCUGAUGCAGCGACGCCGCGUGAGUGAAGAAGUAUUUCGGUAUGUAAAGCUCUAUCAGCAGGGAAGAAAAUGACGGUACCUGACUAAGAAGCCCCGGCUAACUACGUGCCAGCAGCCGCGGUAAUACGUAGGGGGCAAGCGUUAUCCGGAUUUACUGGGUGUAAAGGGAGCGUAGACGGUAAAGCAAGUCUGAAGUGAAAGCCCGCGGCUCAACUGCGGGACUGCUUUGGAAACUGUUUAACUGGAGUGUCGGAGAGGUAAGUGGAAUUCCUAGUGUAGCGGUGAAAUGCGUAGAUAUUAGGAGGAACACCAGUGGCGAAGGCGACUUACUGGACGAUAACUGACGUUGAGGCUCGAAAGCGUGGGG
Molecule: ribosomal RNA, 690 nt
Filed under: uncultured bacterium
Lineage: Bacteria
Description: bacterial SSU rRNA
Rfam family: Bacterial small subunit ribosomal RNA
Source: RNAcentral